RNAcentral lists this ribosomal RNA (211 nucleotides) under uncultured bacterium. Its description in RNAcentral is "partial 16S ribosomal RNA". It matches the Rfam family "Bacterial small subunit ribosomal RNA", at positions 524 to 729 of the family's 1533-position model. The record is from RNAcentral.
UACGUAGGAGACGAGCGUUGUCCGGAGUUACUGGGCGUAAAGGGUGCGCAGGUGGCGGCGCGCGUGGGGGGGUGAAAUCGCCCGGCUUAACUGGGCGGGGGGCCUUCCAGACGGCGUGGCUUGAGCAGCGGGAGGGGGGACGUGGAAUUCCGGGUGGAGCGGUGAAAAUGCGUAGAGAUCCGGAGGAACACCGACGGCGCAGGCAGCGUCC